AGAGUUUGAUUAUGGCUCAGGAUAAACGCUAGCGGCAGGCUUAACACAUGCAAGUCGAGGGGCAUCGGGUCGUAGCAAUACGAUGCCGGCGACCGGCGCACGGGUGAGUAACGCGUAUGGAACCAACCCGCCGAAGAGGGAUAACCCGGAGAAAUUCGGACUAAUACCUCGUAACGCUUUCGAGAGGCAUCUCUUGAAAGCCAAAGAUUCAUCGUCGGCGGACGGUCAUGCGUAUCAUUAGCUAGUUGGCGGGGUAACGGCCCACCAAGGCGGCGAUGAUUAGGGGUUCCGAGAGGAUUUACCCCCACACCGGGACUGAGACACGGCCCGGACUCCUACGGGAGGCAGCAGUGAGGAAUAUUGGUCAAUGGACGAGAGUCCGAACCAGCCAUGCCGCGUGCGGGACGACGGCCCUACGGGUCUUAAACCGCUUUUCCGAGAGAGCAAUAAGCGCCAUGCGUGGCGUGACGAGAGUAUUUCGGGAAUAAGCAUCGGCUAACUCCGUGCCAGCAGCCGCGGUAAUACGGAGGAUGCAAGCGUUAUCCGGAUUCAUUGGGUUUAAAGGGUGCGUAGGCGGUUUUGCAAGUCGGCGGUGAAAUACCCGGGCUCAACCCGAGAAUUGCCGUCGAAACUGCGAGGCUUGAAUGCGAAUGAAGUUCGAGGAAUGCGCGGUGUAGCGGUGAAAUGCAUAGAUAUCGCGCGGAAGGCCGAUUGCGAAGGCAUCGGACUAAUUCGCCAUUGACGCUGAGGCACGAAAGCGCGGGGAUCGAACAGGAUUAGAUACCCUGGUAGUCCGCGCCGUAAACGAUGAUGACUCGCUGUCGGGGAUUAGGUUCUUCGGCGGCCAAGCGAAAGCGUUAAGUCAUCCACCUGGGGAGUACGUUCGCAAGAAUGAAACUCAAAGGAAUUGACGGGGCCCGCACAAGCGGAGGAACAUGUGGUUUAAUUCGAUGAUACGC
This 959-nucleotide ribosomal RNA is filed under the name uncultured bacterium. RNAcentral describes it as "bacterial SSU rRNA". It matches the Rfam family "Bacterial small subunit ribosomal RNA", at positions 8 to 962 of the family's 1533-position model. The record is from RNAcentral.